CCUGGGGUGGGGGCCACCCUGAGAAGGGGCUGCUCCCCCUCCACUCCUCCCUGGGGGGCUGUGGCUGGGCCAAUGCAGCAGGGCCUGGUCUGACCCUGGGGGACAGAGAGCUGCCCCCGGGGCAGAGCCAGGCGGCAGCGUGGCCGGACAGUAGAGCCUCAGAGCCCUGCAUCUCUCCCCCAAGGGCCUUAACGCGGCCGCGAUCGGCUUUACAUGGCAUCUGGAAGAAGAGGAUCCCCCUCUCUUGUGCCCCGGGGGGCUUGCCCUGGUGCCCAGCUCUCCAGGUCAUCGCCAGCACCCGGCUGUAAUGCUUUCCAGGGGAUCUGGUGGCGUGGGCAGGGUCCAGAAAGCACACGUGGCCUCAUGAACUGGAGAAGAUGGGAAGAGUUCCACAUGAGUGGAAAUGUGCAGUAAUUCCACUGGCUUUACUGGACUCCUUGAAGUCUGUGGAGUGACUUUCAGACUUGUGCUGGCAGAAGAGAUCAGAAUUCAUCCAUUUGUCUCAGAUCCUAAUGGGACAUUUGAAGAGAAAACAGGAGGGAAGGAAGAGCUACGUUAAUCAUAAAUGUUCACAAGCCAGGUGUGUUGGCCUAAUGGAUUUCCCAACAAGUGAUGUUUCAGGAUUUAUGGUAUUGCUUUAAGAACGGCUGUCUCCACUGAAAACAACUCCUUCCCAGGAAACCAGGCUGAUAUUUACAGGAUUUUAUUUUCUUUUUUUGUAUAUCAUCAUGAUAAAUGAUUUCAUGAAUGGCAUCUCUCUAAGAAAAA
This is a long non-coding RNA of Alligator mississippiensis (American alligator), 768 nucleotides long. RefSeq lists it as uncharacterized. The transcript is spliced from 4 exons. The record is from RefSeq and is a predicted model, not a curated record. Lineage: Eukaryota; Metazoa; Chordata; Crocodylia; Alligatoridae.